UCGAGGAUCUUCGGCAAUGGACGCAAGUCUGACCGAGCGACGCCGCGUGUGGGAUGAAGGCCUUCGGGUUGUAAACCACUGUCAGAGGGGAUGAAAUGCAGGAGGGUUCUCCCUCUUGUUUGACAUAUCCUCAGAGGAAGUGUGGGCUAAGUUCGUGCCAGCAGCCGCGGUAAGACGAACCACACUAACGUUAUUCGGAAUCACUGGGCUUAAAGGGUGCGUAGGCUGCGCAGAAAGUUGGGUGUGAAAUCCCUCGGCUCAACCGAGGAACUGCGCCCAAAACUACUGUGCUCGAGGGAGAUAGAGGUGAGCGGAACUUAGGGUGGAGCGGUGAAAUGCGUUGAUAUCCUAAGGAACACCCGUGGCGAAAGCGGCUCACUGGAUCUCUUCUGACGCUGAGGCACGAAAGCUAGGGUAGCGAACGGGAUUAGAUACCCGCGUAGUCC
This 446-nucleotide ribosomal RNA is filed under the name uncultured bacterium. Its description in RNAcentral is "bacterial SSU rRNA". It matches the Rfam family "Bacterial small subunit ribosomal RNA", at positions 355 to 796 of the family's 1533-position model. The record is from RNAcentral.